CCUACGGGUGGCAGCAGUGAGGAAUAUUGGUCAAUGGACGAGAGUCUGAACCAGCCAAGUAGCGUGAAGGAUGACUGCCCUAUGGGUUGUAAACUUCUUUUAUAUGGGAAUAAAAUGUUCCACGUGUGGGAUUUUGUAUGUACUAUAUGAAUAAGGAUCGGCUAACUCCGUGCCAGCAGCCGCGGUAAUACGGAGGAUCCGAGCGUUAUCCGGAUUUAUUGGGUUUAAAGGGAGCGUAGGUGGAUUGUUAAGUCAGUUGUGAAAGUUUGCGGCUCAACCGUAAAAUUGCAGUUGAAACUGGCAGUCUUGAGUACAGUAGAGGUGGGCGGAAUUCGUGGUGUAGCGGUGAAAUGCUUAGAUAUCACGAAGAACUCCGAUUGCGAAGGCAGUUCACUGGACUGCCACUGACACUGAGGCUCGAAAGUGUGGGUAUCAAACAGGAUUAGAUACCCUGGUAGUC
This 460-nucleotide ribosomal RNA is filed under the name uncultured bacterium. RNAcentral describes it as "partial 16S ribosomal RNA". It matches the Rfam family "Bacterial small subunit ribosomal RNA", at positions 338 to 795 of the family's 1533-position model. The record is from RNAcentral.